Molecule: ribosomal RNA, 207 nt
Filed under: uncultured bacterium
Lineage: Bacteria
Description: partial 16S ribosomal RNA
Rfam family: Bacterial small subunit ribosomal RNA
Source: RNAcentral
CGCGUAGGCGGUUGAUUAAGUCGGAUGUGAAAGCCCUGGGCUUAACCUGGGAACUGCAUUCGAUACUGUUCGACUAGAGUACGAGAGAGGGAGGUAGAAUUCCACGUGUAGCGGUGAAAUGCGUAGAUAUGUGGAGGAAUACCUGUGGCGAAGGCGGCCUCCUGGCUCGAUACUGACGCUGAGGUGCGAAAGCGUGGGGAGCAAACA